GACGAACGCUGGCGGCGUGCUUAACACAUGCAAGUCGAACGGAAAGGCCCUGCUUGCCGGGUACUCGAGUGGCGAACGGGUGAGUAACACGUGGGUGAUCUGCCCUGCACUUCGGGAUAAGCCUGGGAAACUGGGUCUAAUACCGGAUAGUAGCCAUUUUUAGUGUGAUGGUUGGAAAGUUUUUUCGGUGUAGGAUGAGCUCGCGGCCUAUCAGCUUGUUGGUGGGGUAAUGGCCUACCAAGGCGGCGACGGGUAGCCGGCCUGAGAGGGUGGACGGCCACAUUGGGACUGAGAGACGGCCCAGACGCCGACGGGAGGCAGCAGUGGGGAAGAUUGCACAAGGGGCGCAAGCCUGAUGCAGCGACGCCGCGGGGGGGAUGACGGCCUUCGGGUUGUAAACUCCGUUCGCUAGGGACGAAGCUUUUUGUGACGGUACCUAGAGAAGAAGCACCGGCUAACUACGUG
This 465-nucleotide ribosomal RNA is filed under the name uncultured bacterium. RNAcentral describes it as "partial 16S ribosomal RNA". It matches the Rfam family "Bacterial small subunit ribosomal RNA", at positions 28 to 507 of the family's 1533-position model. The record is from RNAcentral.